GACGUAGGGCGCGGAGCGUUGUCCGGAUUUAUUGGCGUAAAGAGCUCGUAGGCGGCUUGUCGGCGUUCGUGGUGUGGAAAUACUCCAGGGCUCAACUCUGACAUUGCAUACGAUACGGGGCAGGCUUGAGUUCGGUAGGGGAGACUGGAAUUCCUGGUGUAGCGGUGAAAUGCGCAGAUAAUCAGGAGGAACACCGGUGGGCGAAAGGCGGGGUCGUCUGGGGCCGGAUACUGACGUGAGGAGCGAAAGCGUGGGGAGCGAAACAGG
RNAcentral lists this ribosomal RNA (267 nucleotides) under uncultured bacterium. RNAcentral describes it as "partial 16S ribosomal RNA". It matches the Rfam family "Bacterial small subunit ribosomal RNA", at positions 524 to 776 of the family's 1533-position model. The record is from RNAcentral.